UCCAGAAUGAGAAGGAAGGGGUUCACCAGGCUUCACCUCCUGCAGAGGAGCUGGCACUUGGUGGGAGUUAAGAAAAUGACCUACCCUGGAUGACCUUUCCCGGAUAUCUGCUCCCUGGAUGUCAAUGUCGCUCCAGGGAUGACGCUUCCUGGAAGAUUCACCCUGGAUGUUGCCGCACGGAUGACCUUCCGGAUGACCUUCCCUGAAUGACCUUCCCCGAUGUAGCUCCCAGGGUGACGUUACCUGGAUGACCUUUCCCCGGAUGUCGAUGUUGCUCAGCGGAUGACUCUCCCUGGACGAUGCACCCUUUGUGUUGCUGCACGGAUUAGAUGACCUUUCCCCAGAUGUAGAUGCUCUGCGGAUGACACUCCCUGGACGACCUUUCCCCAGAUGUCGCUCUCUGGAUGACAUCCUGGAGCGUUCCCUCCUGGGUACUCUGCUGCACACGUGGAUGUCACUCCGCGGAUGAAGCUCCCUGGACCAUGCGCCCUUUGUGUUGCUGCACAGAUGACCUUUCCCCGGAUGUCGCUCCCUGGAUGACGUUCCCUCCUGGGUACUCUGCUGCACACGGCCUCGUUAGCACCGACUUUCUCUUGCGGUGACUGCUGGAGGUGUUCCCUCAGAACCUGCAUCCUGAACAGCUGCAGAGCAGUCACCCACGGGUGCUCCAGCCUAGCCUCACAUACUGCUUCAACUGGGCUGCUCGCUCCCACCCUCAGAUGGUCCCACAGCCUGGACAGCAGUGAAACCACAGCUCUUCCCACUGGGCCAACACGCCUGCUUUUCGCCCACACUCCAAAACCGCACCCUAAUGUCAGCAGGAAGUAGUCAUGGGUGAAAUCGCCCCUUAUUCAUCUAUUAUCAAGACAAGACUGGGAUACUUGGUUUCAGACCUGAGACAAGGGAUUGGGGUGCAUAAUUUACAUAUCAAAACAGACCCGGCCUCCAGGUUCUCCCCACGUCCCUUGGUCCCUACCCAGCAUAAAUCUACAGCUAUAUUACAGCUUCAUAACAUUAGCAAAAACAAGGCCAAACAUUUUCAUGGCAGUCAUCUUUAACGUUUUUAAUGUAGUAAUCCUCCAAAGCUUAAAGAGUUUAAAA
Molecule: long non-coding RNA, 1101 nt
Organism: Mastomys coucha (southern multimammate mouse)
Lineage: Eukaryota; Metazoa; Chordata; Mammalia; Rodentia; Muridae
Exons: 3
Source: RefSeq, a predicted model, not a curated record